UUUUGUUUCUGUUCUUUGUUAGUAUUCACAAUCACAAAAUUUGCCUUUGUUGAUGGGAAAUUUCGAGAAGAAAAUUUUCCCCCUCCUAUUGAUACUUCACCUCCACUUUUGAGGAAAAUAUUCAUUUGCUUUGGCUGGGUGUUUAAUAUUUACAUCCAUGAUAGGCUCUAGGUUUUGGGAAAUUUUUUAGCCAAAACAUUAUGUAAUGAAUGAGAAAAGGAACCUUGGAAGAAAUGUGCUACAAAUCUGAGGUUUGAUAUUCCAAAGUAUUCGAACUUAUGGUCUUGUACAGUCUUUCAGCUUUUUGACGUGGUUGAGGGAGUACAAGGGACAUUUAUGAGUAAGGUCAAAAUCUCAUAUGGUGAAAUUAUUUUUGAGUGUCUAACAUUUGCACAUGCAAGGAAUAGUCUUCCACUGUUUAAAUAAGAAGGGAAAUUGGCAUUGUCUUGUGUAGGCCAUUUUAGUUCUCAUUAAUGUCACAAGGUAAUGUUAUAACUUUAAGCACCUGGAUGGUAUGAAUUUACUGAUAGAUUCUAGUUCUCUCUUUCGCAUUUUUAAAUGCCACAUCAAAAUUCCAUUAUUGACUUCAAAGGGAGAAGCGUCAGAGACUUUUAGGGGUACAAUGGUAGAAGGGCAUAGUUAUUAAGGGUUCAAGAUAUAAA
This 662-nucleotide unclassified non-coding RNA is filed under the name Hevea brasiliensis (rubber tree). Lineage: Eukaryota; Viridiplantae; Streptophyta; Magnoliopsida; Malpighiales; Euphorbiaceae. The record is from RNAcentral.